RNAcentral lists this ribosomal RNA (255 nucleotides) under uncultured bacterium. RNAcentral's name for it is "partial 16S ribosomal RNA". It matches the Rfam family "Bacterial small subunit ribosomal RNA", at positions 524 to 777 of the family's 1533-position model. The record is from RNAcentral.
UACGUAGGGUGCAAGCGUUAAUCGGAAUUACUGGGCGUAAAGCGUGCGCAGGCGGUUUUGUAAGUCUGAUGUGAAAUCCCCGGGCUCAACCUGGGAAUUGCAUUGGAGACUGCAAGGCUAGAAUCUGGCAGAGGGGGGUAGAAUUCCACGUGUGAGCAGUGAAAUGCGUAGAUAUGUGGAGGAACACCGAUGGCGAAGGCAGCCCCCUGGGUCAAGAUUGACGCUCAUGCACGAAAGCGUGGGGAGCAAACAGGG